Molecule: long non-coding RNA, 2464 nt
Organism: Equus caballus (horse)
Lineage: Eukaryota; Metazoa; Chordata; Mammalia; Perissodactyla; Equidae
Source: RefSeq, a predicted model, not a curated record
CCACACCCGGGAUCCGAACCUGUGAACCCCAGGCUGCUGAAGCCAAGCAGCAACCCAACCACUAUGCAACCGGGCUGGGCCUCCAACUGUCUUUCUUAUACCGCACCCACUGUCAGGCUUCCCUCCUGGAACGGGGGUGGGGGCCAAGCCACUGCCCAGAGCUUCUGGAGGGACUGAUCUGGGCAUUGUGGCUUCAGUGUCAGAGGACACCGGGGGCAUUGGUGCCACCUGAUCUCUCCACUUGGAUGUCUCAGAAGCAUCUCAAACUUAUGUGGCCAAAAAGGAACUCUUGAUUUUCAUCAGAAGCCUGCUCCCCACUCAUGUCUCCUCCAUCUCAGUAAAUGACCUAGCCCAUUUCUCACACUGAAGACCCAGGAGUCCUCCUUCUCUCACUCCCCACGUGCAGUCCCCCAGCAAACCCUGUGGACCCUCCCACAAACACACCCCAGUGCAUCCACUGCCUCUCAUUCUGCUGCAGCCAUCGUCUCCCUCCCCUGGAUAACUUUCACAGCUCCUGUCCCACCUCCCUGCUUCUAUUCCUGUCCCCAAUAGUCACUUCUCCAGAAUGAUCUUUCAGAAACAUCAAGGAGAACAUGCCUCUCCCAUCUUCAAGACCUUCCAGUGACUUCUCACUGCUCUUAGAAUAAAACCCACACCCUGGACUCUGGUCUGCAGAGACCUGUGCCUUCGGCCCCUGCGCCCUGCUUGUCUCUCCCUCUCCCUUUUGCGCUCGCCUGCUGCGCUCCAGUCCCCCUGCCCUCUUGCUCACCUUCGCGUGGCUUGUCUUUCUGUCAUUUGAAUCUCAGUUACAAUUUUCUGUGCAUCCUCUUUCACCCCUGGCUUCUCUCUACCAGUGACUCCACAGUCUUUGUCUCCAGCCAAAGCUGGACUCAGGUGUCGUGUGUCUCUGGACAGCUGUGUCCGCCUGGGUGUCCCACAGACGCCUCAAACUCAGUCCUCCUCCAGCAGUUUUUUUUGCAUUUCUCAUGAUCUCUUCUUCCUUCUGUGUUCUCUGCGGGGAUCUCAGUUACCCAAGUGGGACCCUUGCUCCCUCCCCCUGUAGCGAAGCCGUUCAGUGCCUCCCCUGUUGAGCCCAUUCGUGCCUCAUUGUUUCUCAUCUGGAUUCCUAUAACCAUCUCCUAACUUGCCUCCCAGUCUUGAUCCCGUGAAGUUUCCUGAACUUGCCUACGACCUGGUGUCCUCCCCAUCUCCACUCUACUUUUGCCCAGAUUGCUUUUUCCUAUCAACCACCACCAAACUCAGAAUCACUCUCCACACCCAGCUUCCCCCCUUGUGAAGCCUUCCUCGACCUCCCCCUCUGACACCCUCUACCCCGAGCUGCUCCUCCGGACCUGUGCAAACCCGUCCUCAACACUUGCCAAACCAUCUGUGACUGUCCGCCCCACCAGACCACGAGCUUCCUGUUUUAUUAGACUUUGUAUUCUCGGUGCCAACUCUGGGAGCCCGCCUCAUAGUUUGUGCAUUAAUAAUUGUUUGUUCAGUAAAUGAAUGAAGCAAUGAAUGGAUUGCUUGUCUUUGUUCUCUUUCCCAAACUGACUGUUCCUCCUUUGCUUGACACUCCAUUUUCUUCAGGCUUAAGGCUGCCCUCUUUGUGAAUAAUCAUAGACCUUUCCUGGGGCAGACACUCUGCCAAGUGUUUCUGGUCCCUGUCUCAUUUGAAGUCUGACCACAAUCCCUUGAAGGAGAUGCUAUGAUUAUCUCUAUCUUAUAAAUGAGGAAACUGAUGUUCAGAAAGGUUAAUUCACUUGCUCGGGGUCACACAGCUGGUAAGUGGUGGAGCUGAGGUUUGAACUUAGAUCUGUCUGUCUCGGAAGUCGGAGCAUGGCAUUUGGGACUCCCACGAGUUGGCCCCAGCUCGGCCCUGAGGCUCAUCCCCCAAGGGUCCCUGGCCCUUUUGUUAGGCCUCAUGGGCUUGGCUCCUCCCAAGUCACCUCAGGUUUCCUGCCAGUCAGUGCCUCUCCUGCAAGAAGCCUUUCUCUCUCCUCACUUUCCAGGUCUACGCGGUGCUCCUGGACUUCUGGCUGCAAGUGGGCCUCCCGGCUGCGCCUGGAAGCAGGACUGCCCCAGGAGGUACACUGUGGAAGAAAAGAAAAAUCGAGGUUCAGAGUGGAGAGAUGCCCAGAGCCACAGGGGCCCUGGUGAGCCUGCCGCGUGGCCUGGAGUGGGAGGGGCAGCGCACCGGCUCCCUCUCCGCCAGGCACCCUCCUCAAGGUUCUUUCUGCCUGCCCGCCCACCGGGCCUCAGCUCAGGGUCACGCACAGGCCCAUCUUCUUAGCCAUUCCCCACCUCCUAACAAAAGAUUCCAGUCCUGGCUCCACCCUCUGGGCAAUCAGCGGGUUGCUUCUCCUCCUCCUCCAGCAUCCAAAAAUUGCUAAAGAAAAAUGCUGCGUGAAGCAAAGCCAUCCCAAGGCUGUCCUGGACCCCGAGCAGCGACAAAGAAGGU